UUUUGUAUUUCCCCCAGGUCAUGUUCAAUGCGGUUUUGGAGAAUGCUUGUAGUGAGCAAGGGGCAAGGAUGUCUGCUAUGGAUAGCUCAAGCAGAAAUGCUGGCGAUAUGCUUGAUCGCCUUACUCUUACAUAUAACAGAACCCGUCAAGCUUCGAUCACCACUGAGUUGAUUGAGAUUAUAUCCGGAGCAUCAGCAUUGGAGGGUUGAUUUCAAAUAUUUUUCCGAUAGUGACGAAAUAAAAAAUCAGUGUACUGUUUCUCUGGACAUGGUGGAGGUGCUUCCUUUUGAAUGUUUUGUUGAGGUACUUAAAUAAUCCCCCCAGUAAUACAUCUUCCUUUCUGGGAAUUAAUGUACUUUGUGAUGGUUUUAAAUUUCAA
Long non-coding RNA from Hibiscus syriacus, 379 nucleotides. RefSeq lists it as uncharacterized. NCBI's taxonomy places the organism in Eukaryota, Viridiplantae, Streptophyta, Magnoliopsida, Malvales, Malvaceae. The transcript has 2 exons. The record is from RefSeq and is a predicted model, not a curated record.